RNAcentral lists this ribosomal RNA (323 nucleotides) under Campylobacter coli. RNAcentral's name for it is "bacterial SSU rRNA". It matches the Rfam family "Bacterial small subunit ribosomal RNA", at positions 88 to 414 of the family's 1533-position model. Lineage: Bacteria; Pseudomonadati; Campylobacterota; Epsilonproteobacteria; Campylobacterales; Campylobacteraceae. The record is from RNAcentral.
UGGAUUAGUGGCGCACGGGUGAGUAAGGUAUAGUUAAUCUGCCCUACACAAGAGGACAACAGUUGGAAACGACUGCUAAUACUCUAUACUCCUGCUUAACACAAGUUGAGUAGGGAAAGUUUUUCGGUGUAGGAUGAGACUAUAUAGUAUCAGCUAGUUGGUAAGGUAAUGGCUUACCAAGGCUAUGACGCUUAACUGGUCUGAGAGGAUGAUCAGUCACACUGGAACUGAGACACGGUCCAGACUCCUACGGGAGGCAGCAGUAGGGAAUAUUGCGCAAUGGGGGAAACCCUGACGCAGCAACGCCGCGUGGAGGAUGACAC